GUGUUGUAUGAAAGGAGGGAAAGUUAACACUUCUCUUGACAGGGAUUUGAGGCCCUGGGGCCUGACAACAAGCGUAUGGCUAAGGCAUUGCCACCUCCUUCAUGGCAUCCAAUCGUCAUUUUUA
This is a small nuclear RNA of Cebus imitator (Panamanian white-faced capuchin), 124 nucleotides long. NCBI's taxonomy places the organism in Eukaryota, Metazoa, Chordata, Mammalia, Primates, Cebidae. The record is from Ensembl.